RNAcentral lists this ribosomal RNA (334 nucleotides) under uncultured bacterium. Its description in RNAcentral is "bacterial SSU rRNA". It matches the Rfam family "Bacterial small subunit ribosomal RNA", at positions 29 to 361 of the family's 1533-position model. The record is from RNAcentral.
AUUGAACGCUGGCGGCGUGCCUAACACAUGCAAGUCGAGCGGGUAACAGGUGUAGCAAUACAUGCUGACGAGCGGCGGACGGGUGAGUAACGCUUGGGAAUCGUGCCUAUUAGUGGGGGACAACCCGGGGAAACUCGGGCUAAUACCGCAUACGCUCUACGGAGGAAAGCCGGGGACCGCAAGGCCUGGCGCUAAUAGAUGAGCCCAAGUCGGAUUAGCUAGUUGGUAGGUAAGGCCUACCAAGGCGACGAUCCGUAACUGGUCUGAGAGGACGACCAGGUCACACCGGAACUGAGACACGGUCCGGACUCCUACGGGAGGCAGCAGUGGGGAA